RNAcentral lists this ribosomal RNA (836 nucleotides) under Staphylococcus sp. RNAcentral's name for it is "bacterial SSU rRNA". It matches the Rfam family "Bacterial small subunit ribosomal RNA", at positions 54 to 873 of the family's 1533-position model. The record is from RNAcentral. Lineage: Bacteria; Bacillati; Bacillota; Bacilli; Caryophanales; Staphylococcaceae.
CAUGCAGUCGAGCGAACAGAUAAGGAGCUUGCUCCUUUGACGUUAGCGGCGGACGGGUGAGUAACACGUGGGUAACCUACCUAUAAGACUGGGAUAACUUCGGGAAACCGGAGCUAAUACCGGAUAAUAUUUCGAACCGCAUGGUUCGAUAGUGAAAGAUGGUUUUGCUAUCACUUAUAGAUGGACCCGCGCCGUAUUAGCUAGUUGGUAAGGUAACGGCUUACCAAGGCGACGAUACGUAGCCGACCUGAGAGGGUGAUCGGCCACACUGGAACUGAGACACGGUCCAGACUCCUACGGGAGGCAGCAGUAGGGAAUCUUCCGCAAUGGGCGAAAGCCUGACGGAGCAACGCCGCGUGAGUGAUGAAGGUCUUCGGAUCGUAAAACUCUGUUAUUAGGGAAGAACAUACGUGUAAGUAACUGUGCACGUCUUGACGGUACCUAAUCAGAAAGCCACGGCUAACUACGUGCCAGCAGCCGCGGUAAUACGUAGGUGGCAAGCGUUAUCCGGAAUUAUUGGGCGUAAAGCGCGCGUAGGCGGUUUUUUAAGUCUGAUGUGAAAGCCCACGGCUCAACCGUGGAGGGUCAUUGGAAACUGGAAAACUUGAGUGCAGAAGAGGAAAGUGGAAUUCCAUGUGUAGCGGUGAAAUGCGCAGAGAUAUGGAGGAACACCAGUGGCGAAGGCGACUUUCUGGUCUGUAACUGACGCUGAUGUGCGAAAGCGUGGGGAUCAAACAGGAUUAGAUACCCUGGUAGUCCACGCCGUAACGAUGAGUGCUAAGUGUUAGGGGGUUUCCGCCCCUUAGUGCUGCAGCUAACGCAUUAAGCACUCCGCC